UUCCAGACUCCUACGGGAGGCAGCAGUGAGGAAUAUUGGUCAAUGGCCGGAAGGCUGAACCAGCCAAGCCGCGUGAGGGAGGAAGGCGCAGAGCGUCGCAGACCUCUUUUGCCGGGGGACAAGAGGCCGGACUCGUCCGGUCCUGAGGGUACCCGGAGAAAAAGCAUCGGCUAACUCCGUGCCAGCAGCCGCGGUAAUACGGAGGAUGCGAGCGUUAUCCGGAUUUAUUGGGUUUAAAGGGUGCGCAGGCGGAUUUUUAAGUCAGCGGUCAAAUCGUGGGGCUCAACCCCAUCCAGCCGUUGAAACUGGGGAUCUAGAGUGUGCGAGAGGUAUGCGGAAUGCGUGGUGUAGCGGUGAAAUGCAUAGAUAUCACGCAGAACCCCGAUUGCGAAGACAGCAUACCGGUGCACAACUGACGCUCAGGCACGAAAGCGUGGGUAUCGAACAGGAUUAGAUACCCCGGUAA
Molecule: ribosomal RNA, 466 nt
Filed under: uncultured bacterium
Lineage: Bacteria
Description: bacterial SSU rRNA
Rfam family: Bacterial small subunit ribosomal RNA
Source: RNAcentral